AGAAAGUCUAGGGGUAGGGUUCGGGUUACAGAGGAAGGUCCUGACAGUAGCAAUGUACCAAAAACAUGGAUAUAAAAUUAUACAUUUUUUCAUAAUUUAAUAUUAAGUCACACUAGCCAAAAAAUUCUUAGAAUAAAGUUGGGGUUUUUCCUUCAGCCGUUGUGGUUGCACUGUACCUUUAGGUUAUCUAGAUCUACAACGGCUGAAGGAAAAACCACGGAUUAAUUUCUCAGAAUAUUCGGCUGCUUAGUAUUAACAUUAAAAAUAUUUAUGUGUAAUAUUAAUUACCCUAUUUUUUUCAUUACAACUGUAAGGACCUUCCUCUCCAACCCUAACCCUACCCCUAGACUUUCUAUUGGAUUAAUACACGUUUUCAAGACCAGAACAUGUGUGGUCAUGUAGCUCUACGGGUUACGCCUGUGAUGUUCAGGACUCAUUCUUGUAUUUUACACUCUCUGAUGUUUUCUUUUCUUCAUGUCUAGUGUGUGAAUCAUUUCUGGUUUGUCUCUUCAGUGUCUCAUGUGGCCCUGCAGCUUCUCCUCCUCCACCUCCUCCACCUCCUCCUGAAGCCUUCAUCUUCUUCAUCAUCAGCUGCUCAGUGACUCUGUUGGACGUCUCACCGUGUGGCAGCAGCUCAGGAGUUUGCAGUCAACCAAGGCCGACUCAGAAUCACUCCCACCGGGAAGAUCUGUGAAGGAAGGUCCACCCGGCUGGUCCAGAAGCUCCGGUCCAGCAGAGCAGCGUCAGGAUGGAGACGUAACCGGUGUUGAUGUCACCGCCUUGACGAAUAGAAGAAAAGCCUGUAUUUGGGUAUGUAGGACUGGUAGUCCAGAGGUAGUGGUGGUGGUUUGGAACCUGGAGAGUGCAGGUUCAAUCCCCCACCCUGCUCAAGCUUUUUUUUUACAUUUGGG
Amphiprion ocellaris (clown anemonefish) is the source of this 911-nucleotide long non-coding RNA. RefSeq lists it as uncharacterized. The record is from RefSeq and is a predicted model, not a curated record. The transcript has 3 exons. NCBI's taxonomy places the organism in Eukaryota, Metazoa, Chordata, Actinopteri, Pomacentridae.